GACGAACGCUGGCGGCGUGCUUAACACAUGCAAGUCGAACGGUAAGGCCCUUCGGGGUACACGAGUGGCGAACGGGUGAGUAACACGUGGGUGAUCUGCCCUGCACUUCGGGAUAAGCCUGGGAAACUGGGUCUAAUACCGGAUAGGACACUGCCUGCAUGGGGGGUGGUGGAAACCUUUUGCGGUGUGGGAUGGGCCCGCGGCCUAUCAGCUUGUUGGUGGGGUGAUGGCCUACCAAGGCGACGACGGGUAGCCGGCCCGAGAGGGUGACCGGCCACACUGGGACUGAGAUACGGCCCAGACUCCUACGGGAGGCAGCAGUGGGGAAUAUUGCACAAUGGGCGCAAGCCUGAUGCAGCGACGCCGCGUGAGGGAUGACGGCCUUCGGGUUGUAAACCUCUUUCAGCACCGACGAAGCGCAAGUGACGGUAGGUGCAGAAGAAGGACCGGCCAACUACGUGCCAGCAGCCGCAGUAA
This 477-nucleotide ribosomal RNA is filed under the name uncultured bacterium. RNAcentral describes it as "partial 16S ribosomal RNA". It matches the Rfam family "Bacterial small subunit ribosomal RNA", at positions 28 to 523 of the family's 1533-position model. The record is from RNAcentral.